RNAcentral lists this ribosomal RNA (512 nucleotides) under uncultured soil bacterium. Its description in RNAcentral is "bacterial SSU rRNA". It matches the Rfam family "Bacterial small subunit ribosomal RNA", at positions 1 to 531 of the family's 1533-position model. The record is from RNAcentral.
GGCUUAGAGUUUGCAUAAGAAAUCCCAUUGAACGCUGGCGGCAGGCCUAACACCCCUUCAGUCGAGCGGAUGAGGGUAGCUUGCUACCUGAUUCAGCGGCGGACGGGUGAGUAAUGCCUAGGAAUCUGCCCGAUAGUGGGGGACAACGUUUCGAAAGGAACGCUAAUACCGCAUACGUCCUACGGGAGAAAGUGGGGGAUCUUCGGACCUCACGCUAUCGGAUGAGCCUAGGUCGGAUUAGCUAGUUGGUGAGGUAAUGGCUCACCAAGGCGACGAUCCGUAACUGGUCUGAGAGGAUGAUCAGUCACACUGGGACUGAGACACGGCCCAGACUCCUACGGGAGGCAGCAGUGGGGAAUAUUGGACAAUGGGGGAAACCCUGAUCCAGCAAUGCCGCGUGAGUGAAGAAGGCCUUAGGGUUGUAAAGCUCUUUCGCCCGCGAAGAUAAUGACGGUAGCGGGAGAAGAAGCCCCGGCUAACUCCGUGCCAGCAGCCGCGGUAAUACGAAGCCG